UAAGAUAGAAAGGAUGAACUUUGUGAAU
Molecule: non-coding RNA, 28 nt
Filed under: Rattus norvegicus (Norway rat)
Lineage: Eukaryota; Metazoa; Chordata; Mammalia; Rodentia; Muridae
Source: RNAcentral